Molecule: ribosomal RNA, 824 nt
Filed under: uncultured eukaryote
Lineage: Eukaryota
Description: bacterial SSU rRNA
Rfam family: Bacterial small subunit ribosomal RNA
Source: RNAcentral
GAGAGUUUGAUCCUGGCUCAGGAUGAACGCUAGCGGCAGGCCUAAUACAUGCAAGUCGAACGAGAUUGGAGGAGCUUGCUCUUCCAUGAAAGUGGCGCACGGGUGCUAACGCGUAUGCAACCUACCUUUAUCAGGGGGAUAGCCUCUCGAAAGAGAGAUUAACACCGCAUAACACCAUGGCCUGGCAUCGGGCGAUGGUCAAAUAUUAAUAGGAUAAAGAUGGGCAUGCGUGAACAUUAGCUAGUUGGUGGGGUAAAGGCCCACCAAGGCGAUGAUGUCUAGGGGAUCUUGAGAGGAUGGCCCCCCACNUGGUACUGAACACCGGCCCAAGACUCCUCGGGAGGCACCAUUGAGGAAUUUUUCCGCAAUGGGCGAAAGCCUGACGGACCAAUGCCCGGUUGAGGAUGAAAGCCUAUGGUCGUAAACUCNUUUUUCAAAGAAGAAUUUUGGACGGUAUCUGAGGAAUAAGCAUUGGCUAACUCCGUGCCAGCAGCCGCGGUAAGACGGGGAAUGCAANGGUGUAUCCGGAAUAAUUGGGCGUAAAGCGUCUUGUAGGUGGUUUACCAAGUCUGUUGUUAAAACUCAAGGGCUUAACCUUGAUCAGGCAACAGAAACUUAGUAAGCUUGAGUACGGUAGGGGCAGAGGGAAUUCUCGGUGUAGUGGUGAAAUGCGUAGAUAUCGAGAAGAACACCAAUAGCGAAAGCAUUGUUGGGCGAAACUGACCAUUGAAGAGACGAAAGCUAGGGGAGCGAAAGGGAUUAGAUACCCCUGUAGUCCUAGCCGUAAACGAUGGAUACUAAGUGCUGUGCGACUCAAAACGUCC